Molecule: ribosomal RNA, 500 nt
Filed under: uncultured bacterium
Lineage: Bacteria
Description: partial 16S ribosomal RNA
Rfam family: Bacterial small subunit ribosomal RNA
Source: RNAcentral
AUUGAACGCUGGCGGCAUGCCUUACACAUGCAAGUCGAACGGCAGCACGGGAGCAAUCCUGGUGGCGAGUGGCGAACGGGUGAGUAAAGUAUCGGAACGUGCCCAGUCGUGGGGGAUAACGUAGCGAAAGUUACGCUAAUACCGCAUACGAUCUAUGGAUGAAAGCGGGGGAUCGCAAGACCUCGCGCGAUUGGAGCGGCCGAUAUCAGAUUAGGUAGUUGGUGGGGUAAAGGCUCACCAAGCCGACGAUCUGUAGCUGGUCUGGGAGGACGACCAGCCACACUGGGACUGGGACACGGCCCAGACUCCUACGGGAGGCAGCAGUGGGGAAUUUUGGACAAUGGGCGAAAGCCUGAUCCAGCCAUGCCGCUUGAAGGAUGAAGGCCUUCGGGUUGUAAACUGCUUUUGUACGGAACGAAAAGGUUUGGCCUAAUAAGCUGAGCUCAUGACGGUACCGUAAGAAUAAGCACCGGCUAACUACGUGCCAGCCGCCGCCGUAA